RNAcentral lists this ribosomal RNA (899 nucleotides) under uncultured bacterium. Its description in RNAcentral is "bacterial SSU rRNA". It matches the Rfam family "Bacterial small subunit ribosomal RNA", at positions 10 to 899 of the family's 1533-position model. The record is from RNAcentral.
AGUUUGAUCCUGGCUCAGGAUGAACGCUAGCUACAGGCUUAACACAUGCAAGUCGAGGGGCAGCGAUGAAGAAAGCUUGCUUUCUUCAGGCGGCGACCGGCGCACGGGUGAGUAACGCGUAUCGAACCUGCCUCAUACUCAGGAAUAGCCUUGCGAAAGUAAGAUUAAUGCCCGAUGUUAUUAGGAUAUCACAUGAUGUUUUAAUUAAAGAUUUAUCGGUAUGAGAUGGCGAUGCGUCCCAUUAGUUUGUUGGCGGGGUAACGGCCCACCAAGACAUCGAUGGGUAGGGGUUCUGAGAGGAAGGUCCCCCACAUUGGAACUGAGACACGGUCCAAACUCCUACGGGAGGCAGCAGUGAGGAAUAUUGGUCAAUGGACGCAAGUCUGAACCAGCCAAGUAGCGUGCAGGAAGACGGCCCUCUGGGUUGUAAACUGCUUUUAGUUGGGAAUAAAGUGCAUCACGUGUGAUGUUUUGUAUGUACCAUCAGAAAAAGGACCGGCUAAUUCCGUGCCAGCAGCCGCGGUAAUACGGAAGGUCCAGGCGUUAUCCGGAUUUAUUGGGUUUAAAGGGAGCGCAGGCGGACCUUUAAGUCAGCUGUGAAAUACGGCGGCUCAACCGUCGAACUGCAGUUGAUACUGGAGGUCUUGAGUGCACACAGGGAUACUGGAAUUCAUGGUGUAGCGGUGAAAUGCUCAGAUAUCAUGAAGAACUCCGAUCGCGAAGGCAGGUAUCCGGGGUGCAACUGACGCUGAGGCUCGAAAGUGCGGGUAUCAAACAGGAUUAGAUACCCUGGUAGUCCGCACAGUAAACGAUGAAUACUCGCGAUUUGCGAUACACAGUAAGUCGCCAAGCGAAAGCGUUUAGUAUUCCACCUGGGGAGUACGCCGGCAACGGUGAAA